This 253-nucleotide non-coding RNA is filed under the name uncultured bacterium. RNAcentral describes it as "partial 16S ribosomal RNA". It matches the Rfam family "Bacterial small subunit ribosomal RNA", at positions 524 to 776 of the family's 1533-position model. RNAcentral also lists the same sequence under 1 other name. The record is from RNAcentral.
UACGUAGGGUGCAAGCGUUAAUCGGAAUUACUGGGCGUAAAGCGUGCGCAGGCGGUUCGGAAAGAAAGAUGUGAAAUCCCAGGGCUCAACCUUGGAACUGCAUUUUUAACUCCCGGACUAGAGUGUGUCAGAGGGGGGUGGAAUUCCACGUGUAGCAGUGAAAUGCGUAGAUAUGUGGAGGAACACCGAUGGCGAAGGCAGCCCCCUGGGAUAACACUGACGCUCAGGCACGAAAGCGUGGGGAGCAAACAGG